AGCCACAGCUGCCUGUUGUGGCUCUUGGUUUUCAGGGAAAAAGAAGGAAGGUUGCAGACACAGGGUCUUAAAAGUUAUUAUUUAUUUAUUUAUUUAUUUGUGCAGCAGCAUUAUCGAGCACUGUUUCACUUCUCACUUGGCCUCACUGUGCACUGCUAGAUCCAAAAGUGCUCGCUGCUGGCCCCAGAAACAUGCUUCUCCUUCCACCCCCCUGCUAGGAGCUCAUACAAAGAGAGUUUUGCUCCUAUUAUACUUCUUGAAUAUGCACAUUCUUGCUAGGAAAAAUAAAUAAGAAGAAAGCUGCAUUCCUCCUUAUUUCAUAUGCAUAUUGUAUAUUUAUUACAGUUUCUAUUAAAAAUGGUGAUCCUUAAGUUGUUCAAAUACUUUAGCUAUGAAAGAAUGAAAGAAGAUAUUCCCCCAAAAAAGUUUCUGUAAAUAGCCAAUUAAAAGGUUGGUACAACUAUGGAUACUAUAACAAUAUUUUCCAUUUUAUAACAUUUUUCUUCCAGACUGCACGUACACAGUUUGUCAGAUAUUUCUUCUAUGAUAUCAAGGAUACCAGAAGUAUUUUAAAAACUGCAUGCAUAAUAAAAUUACAGCUCCCAUCACCAAAAUGCAGCUUUCUUGGAGGUAGAAAGAUAACAGCUAGACAGACAUCAGAGCAUAUCAGGGAAAAUAAAACUUCAGCAUUUUGCCUAAUGACAGGAGAUUCAAGGGAGCUCAGCUAUGUUAAUAAAUACUUCUGAGUCCCUACUUCAUGGAAGGGAAGCUGAGAGCUUUGCUUGUGAGACAAGGCCCAUAUUUAACCCCUGUUUCUUCAAAUAUGCUCUUCUGAUACCAAUAUCUACUCCUGACUGCUGUGAACAUACAAAAAAAAGCUUUAAAUUCACUGUCAUCACUUAACACAGCAAGUUUUGCUCUUUCUUUCUUUGUCUUCAAGGAUUAACUUGGACCUAGAUCUCAAGAGACAAUUUCUAUAAACCUUCUACAGGGUUUUGUUUUUUUAAUUAUCAUUUUUGUUUUCUCCUGUGCAAAGAUCUCUUUAGGAUUCUGCUUUGUGGUCCAGUGAAGUAAAAAUAAAACUUUGACAAUCAUGGGGAAAUUUGCUGAU
RNAcentral lists this long non-coding RNA (1111 nucleotides) under Anser cygnoides (Swan goose). Its description in RNAcentral is "lncRNA (ENSACDG00005002135.1)". The record is from RNAcentral. Lineage: Eukaryota; Metazoa; Chordata; Aves; Anseriformes; Anatidae.